This 79-nucleotide transfer RNA is filed under the name Scedosporium apiospermum. It matches the Rfam family "tRNA". From Rfam's summary of the family: Transfer RNA (tRNA) molecules are approximately 80 nucleotides in length. Their secondary structure includes four short double-helical elements and three loops (D, anti-codon, and T loops). Lineage: Eukaryota; Fungi; Ascomycota; Sordariomycetes; Microascales; Microascaceae. The record is from Rfam by way of RNAcentral.
GCCCGGGUGGUUUAAGGGUAGAAUACUUGCUUGCCAUGACGGAUAGCGAGUGGUCCGAGUUCGAGUCUCGGCCCGGGCA